This 566-nucleotide long non-coding RNA is filed under the name Mytilus galloprovincialis (Mediterranean mussel). Lineage: Eukaryota; Metazoa; Mollusca; Bivalvia; Mytilida; Mytilidae. The record is from RNAcentral.
CUUUUCACAAUACAUAGUUUUUAUUUGCUCAUGCGCAUGAGAUAAUGAAUACAUCACAUUAGUUCAGACUUUUUCAAACUAAAUCAUGUAAAAGCAAUUCUUGUUAUUUAUGAGGCAAAAAUUAAAGCCAUCCCGUACUAGAACUCUUAUAAUUUUAUAACGAGACCAAGUCAGACCCGUGUAGAAAAACACCCAGUUUGCAGACAAAUCGGAACAUCUACAAGAUAAGAGAAAUAGAGACUUGCCAAAAAUAUAGUAUGAUAUAAUGUAAAUAAAUUCAAACGACAGAAUCAGAUAAAUGAUUGAUAUACUAAAAUAAUAGGCUAAGUCAAAAACAAUAGACUGCAUGCAACAACCACUGUUUUUGGGACACAGACAUAUAAAGAAUAUUGUAUUGUAAUUUGUCUGACCGCACAGACUUUUCCCUAACCAGGUGUUACAGAUGAAAAACAAUCAGUUAAAAAUCCUAAACUUAUCUGAUUGACAUCGAAACAUACGUGACUAAUGCAUGUACAAAAUAAAUAAAGCACUGAUCUAAUAAAUGAAAGCUCACUACAGUUAACAAC